GGUGCUGCACACCAACCUCCCGGCGCCUGGUGGGCACAAGCGCAAGGUCGCGCAGAGGAAGCUCCUCAAUGGCCAGUGAAGGGCUACCAGCGCCACUGCUACCCCGGCCACGUAUUCGCCUUACCUCAGCCUAGGCUGGAGUACAAUGGCACGAUCCUGGUUCACUGCAAACUCCGCCUCCUGGUUUCAAGUGUUUCUCCUACCUCAGGUUCCUGAGUAGCUGGGAUUACAGGCACGCAUCACCACAGGCCAGACAUGACCUUAGCAUUGCUCCCAUGAUGAGGCGAGGUCUGUGCUCCUUCCCCCUGAAUUCAAGAAGGUCUGUGACUGGCAGGAGCGAUUCAAGCUUUUGAAUCUCUUACUCACCAAACCUAGUCUUUCUUGGAAGACUUUCUCUGCCUCAAUGUUUUCCCAGUGGACCCAGGGAGAGGAGCUCAUUGCCAAAACUACAGAAAAGCUGUACACGGGAUGCAGCCAGAAUGACCAGGUGCCUCUAGCCCCUCCACCCCACUGCUCCAUGCUGUCCCAACCUUGGGGAGCCCAGGGAGCAGUUAGAGCUCAGCAGUGUCCUGGCUCCCCAGGGAAGCAACACGUCGGCCUUUCAGAGCACCUCCUCCUCCUCGCACAGGUGAUCACGCACCUUAGGUUGUGGAUGCAGCAGACCUUCUCCACGCUCUCAGGCCUCCUCUGGGAUCUCAUCAGGAAGAUGGCAGAUUGGACAGAGAGUCUCUCACCAGGCUGGAUUGCAGAGGCUUGCUCACACCUCACGACAGCCUCAAACUCCUGGGCUCAAACAAUCCUCCUUUCUCGAUUUCCUAAGUACCUGGGAUUACGGGGAAAGAAAUGAUACAAGAAAAGAAGGAUGAAGACAUAGUUCUUCCUUUGGUUUCACAGUUUUGGUUGGAAAUGCAACAUUCAGUUUAAUUUACUUAGUGGGAAAUUAUUAAGUGCAAUGCACUGCUCAGUUGUUUCAGGAAUUGUAAGCAUCAAAUAGAGACUCAGACUGGAUCUUUACCAUCAUUUGGAGAAAAUGAAACAAAUACAGAAAUACUCAAGGACGAAAAGCUGUGUGUUCUAAACAAACCAUAUUUCUGAUGAUGAGGCAUCUUGUCAAGGAGGGAAAACAUCAUUUUUCUGUUAAAGUUAGAAAAUCAGCUUCAUGGAAUACACUGUGUUUGAAUCUACUGAAAUUGUUAUUCUUGUUAUUGACUUCUUACCCACAAAAUAUUGGAAAGAAUUAUAAACAAUAAGGAAACAAUUCUCCCAAUAUUUCCCUAAAGACAACACAAUUAUUAUACUAAUUGAUUAAAUCCCUUUAAUUUUUUUCUAUAUUUGUUAAAGUAAUCAAAUUCUAUUUACAAUUUUCUAUUCUUUCUGCUUACUUUGUAUUUUGUCAUAAAGAUCUUACAUUGUAUUUCUAAUCAUCAAUUUUUAUUUUUUAUAUUUCUUUAUUGAUUUAUGUUUUCUUGGAGACAGAAUCUCACUAUAUCACCUAGGCUGGAUUGCAGGGGCACGAUCUCGGCUCACUGCAACCUCCACCUCAGGCACAAGCGAUUUUCCUGCCUCAGCCUCCACAGUAGCUGGGACUUCAGGAGCCUGCCACUGCACCUUGCUAGAGCUUUCUAGACUUUCUCCCUAUAUCCCUUGAGCUGGGAUGAGCAGUGCCAGAAACCACAGAGUGGCUUUGCAACUGGCCUUGGAGACUUCCACAAGCUACCGCCACUGCACUGUGAGACCCUGAUGCCUGAGCUGACUUCAUCUUAUUGGACAGCAAGCCUUGGCGAGAAUGUAGAUCUAUUUCUGAGGGUAGAAGAUUAAAUUCGUGUGGUUUUCUUCCCUUAGGAAGAUGGACUUAGACUUCCCACAGGCCUUCCAGAAGGAACUCACCUGUGUCAUCUGCCUGAACUACCUGGUAGACCCUGUCACAUAGGCUGUGGGCACAGCUCCUGUAGACCCUGUCUCUGCCUUUCCUGGGAUGGAGCCCAAAGUCCUUCCAACUGCCCUGCAUGCAGGGAACCAUCACACCAAAAGGAUUUCAAAACGAACAUUUUUCUGUAGAAUUUAGUGACGACUGCUGGGAAAGCCAGUCUCUGGCAAUUCCUGAGCUCUGAGAAACAAGUAUGUGGGACCCAUAGGGAAACAAAGAAGAUGUUCUGUGGCACGGACAAGAGUCUGCUCUGCUCGCUGUGCUCUAACUCUCAGGAGCACGGGGCUCACAAACACUGUCCCAUUGAAGGGGCAGCUGAAGAACACCAGGUAAGAGACAGCACUGGGAUCACCUGAAGGCUGGAGGGUGGAAGAGUUAAAGAGAUGAGAAGGGAGAGGAGAAUCACUGUGCUGAUCACUCCACUCUUUACUGAGUGCCAGGUGCUUUCGGAGAUACCAGUGAUGAAAUUCUGAAUUCAAUAUGCAACUAUACCUGCCUUCAUGGAGCCUGCACCCAAAAAGAGGGUGAUUAAGUAAAUGUCACUAUUACUUUGACUCUACAGUACAAUGCUAAAGGCAUUGAAAAGCUACCAAAACUAGAAGAACAAAGAAAAUACAUUUUGGAAAUGUAUUUAAUAGUACUGGAUAAAUGGCAAAAGCAGGAGGCUAGCAUAGUGGAUUCUGAAGAAGGCUGUUUCACUGAUCAUUAGCUCGGUUACAAGAAAUCUUUACUCACCAGUUCCCUAAACUGUUAUACAUUCUGAAACCUCAGAUUUGAAAAAUACUGAGGAUGAGCAGUGAAACGAUUUGUUUUAUUUUCCUCUCUGUAGUCUGUUCAUACAUGAUAUCCCUUGCCUGCAUAUGUCACUCAGAGUGUGGAAUCUAUGGUAUUUGAUUUUCUGUUGUUCGCCCUCAUAAUUCUUCGUCGAACACGAAGAGUCUCUUUAGGUUCAUACUAUUGCUAUGGAGAAAGAGAAUUCACUCUCAAAUGUGUCUUCCAGGACUAACUCGUGGUGAAAAAUAAAGAUGGCUUCGGAGAACUCCAGGAGACUAGAAAUCACUAGCGAGUCGUUCCCUUAGAGAGGUGAUCAUAUCUCUGCUAAAAUCCUACUGGGUAUGGCUGGUAUUUAUAAGCAAUAGAGAAUCUUCUCAACUGAGUACAAUUUCCUAAACUGAGUAGUGCACCCGUUGAAAAAAAAAGGCAGGCCGGGCGUGGCGGCUCAUGCCUGUAAUCCAAGCACUUUGGAGGCCAAGGCAGGUGGAUCACCUGAGGUCAGGAGUUCAAGACCAUUCUGACCAACAUGGUGAAACCCUGUCUUCAAAAAAAAAAAAAAGAAAGAAAAAAAGAAAAAAAAGUCUUCCUCAAGAUGAAACUAGGACUCUUCUUUCGUGGUAAUGAGUGAACUCAAAUAAAUAAAAGAAGUACUUAGUUGUUCACAAGUGAACAGCAUCCUAAACCGGUCAAGAAGACAUGUGGUACCUGGUCAAGGUGUACCUGCUAUGUAGGAAGCGUUGGUGGGGUGGCUGGAGGUGAUGGCAGUUGAGAUGUCUGGUGUGUGUAGGUGUAGGUAUGUCUCUGGGUGGUGGACAGAAGGCUGGGCUGGCAGAUGGCUCAACCACAAGUGCCAAGUUCACAGAUGUUACAGACUGAACCUGUCAGAGGAGUUUAGUUCUCACCCCUUCUCCUUCCCUCUACUGGCCCUCCCCGCCUCUCCUCCUCUCCCUGUAGGAGUGUGGUGGAAAACAGAUGGGCAGGUGAUUCGACUGGGGUAGGGCUGCUCUGCAUUGUAAAGUAGCUCAGAAAGCCCGUAUGAGCCACUCUAUGUACAUGACCACACACACGGCCUAUGUACAUGACCACAAACAUGACCUAUGUACAUGACCACACACACGGUCUAUGUACACGACCACACACAUGGCCUAUGUACAUGACCACACACACGGCCUAUGUACAUGACCACACAUAUAUGACUGAUUUCUGUCACAAUUGGGUCACAGUUUUUAAAAGAGAUGCUUGGCCCUGUAGAGGUUUAAUCAAGGUCACAGGUCUUUCUGAGUCCUAGAAAAAGGGUGGUGGGUGGCCUGUAAUCCCGCACUUUGGGAGGCCCAGGAGGGUGGAUCAUGAGGUCAAAAGAUCGAGACCAUCUUGGCUAACAUGGUGAAACCCCGUCUCUACUAAAAAUACAAUAAUUAGCCAGGCAUGGUGGUACAUGCCUGUAGUUCCAGCUACUUGGGAGGCUGAGGCAGGAGAAUCAUUUGAACCCAGGAGGUGGAGGUUGCAGUGAGCUGAGAUUGCACCACUGAAUUCCAGCCUGGCGACAGAGAGAGACUCUGUCUAAGAAAAAAAAAAAGAAGCAAAGGCAGGUGUAGCUCAGACUCUGUCUCGACGACUCUGUCUCGACCC
Callithrix jacchus (white-tufted-ear marmoset) is the source of this 4330-nucleotide non-coding RNA. Lineage: Eukaryota; Metazoa; Chordata; Mammalia; Primates; Cebidae. The record is from RefSeq and is a predicted model, not a curated record.